This 497-nucleotide ribosomal RNA is filed under the name uncultured bacterium. RNAcentral describes it as "partial 16S ribosomal RNA". It matches the Rfam family "Bacterial small subunit ribosomal RNA", at positions 28 to 507 of the family's 1533-position model. The record is from RNAcentral.
GAUGAACGCUGGCGGCGUGCCUAAUACAUGCAAGUCGAGCGAACAGACGAGGAGCUUGCUCCUCUGACGUUAGCGGCGGACGGGUGAGUAACACGUGGAUAACCUACCUAUAAGACUGGGAUAACUUCGGGAAACCGGAGCUAAUACCGGAUAAUAUAUUGAACCGCAUGGUUCAAUAGUGAAAGACGGUUUUGCUGUCACUUAUAGAUGGAUCCGCGCCGCAUUAGCUAGUUGGUAAGGUAACGGCUUACCAAGGCAACGAUGCGUAGCCGACCUGAGAGGGUGAUCGGCCACACGGGAACUGAGACACGGUCCAGACUCCUACGGGAGGCAGCAGUAGGGAAUCUUCCGCAAUGGGCGAAAGCCUGACGGAGCAACGCCGCGUGAGUGAUGAAGGUCUUCGGAUCGUAAAACUGUGUUAUUAGGGAAGAACAAAUGUGUAAGUAACUAUGCACGUCUUGACGGUACCUAAUCAGAAAGCCACGGCUAACUACGUG